AUGCGACUGUCACCUGGGAUGGCGACAUUUUUCGCUGGGAUGGCGAAAAAGCCAAACCUUUUUCUUUUCCACAACUGUGAUGUCUGGUGUGUUGUGUUCCAGAACUUUGUCAUUCUGGAACACAACACACCAGACAUCACAGUUGUGGAAAAGAAAAAGGUUUGGAUCAUUGAUGUCGCCAUCCCAGGUGACAGUCGGAUUGAUGAAAAACAACAGGAAAAACUCAGACGCUAUCAGGACCUCAAGAUUGAACUUCAAAGACUCUGGCAGAAACCAGUGCAGGUGGUCCCGGUGGUGAUGGGCACAUUGGGUGCCGUGCCAAAAGAUCUCAGCCGGCAUUUGGAAACAAUAGACAUUGACAAAAUUACGACCUGCCAACUGCAAAAGGCCACCCAACUGGGUUCUGCACGCAUCAUCCGAAAAUACAUCACACAGUCCUAGACACUUGGGAAGUGUUCGACUUGUGAUUUUGUGAUACGAAAUCCAGCAUAUCUAUCUUGUUUGCUGUGUCAGACUAUAAUAAUAAUAACUUAUUUUUAUACCCUGCCUCCAUCUCCCUGAACAUCCCACUUGUGAACACCCUGCACACACAGACCUUGCAUUAUUUUCCUGCUCUCUUGUAUUCUUUCUAUGCUUCCAGUUUCCAGUUGCCAGCCAGACUACAGCACUCAUCAUCUGAUGUUGCGUCAUCCUGCCGAUGAACAGAUUAUGUCAGUUCAGUUCAGUUCGGAUUGUCUUUUCCCCAUCACCCCUUCAAUCUCUCUUUUAUCUGCCCAUUAAAAUGCCUUUGCAGGAUUUACAGAGCUCUGAUUUUUUCCCAGAAGGUUUGGCUGUCCAUCAGAAACCUGUCCUUCUCCCUAUGUGGGGCAUACUUCUAUCAUCUCAUGACAGCUCCUUUAAGGCCAGUUCUUUUACACCGACACUGCAAAAAAUGCCACUAGAAUUUCAUUUUAUUUUCAAAGGCUUUCAUGGCCGGAAUCACUGGGUUGCUGUGAGUCUUUCGGGCUGUAUGGCCAUGUUCCAGAAGCUUUCUCUCCUGCCGUUUCACCCACAUCUGUGGAAGCCAUCCUUGGAUACCUCACAACCUCUGAGGUUGAAGCUCUCCUAUUGUAGGUUUCAUUAACUGGUUAAAAAGGCUACUUCUGGAUCAGAUUUGGG
This 1158-nucleotide long non-coding RNA is filed under the name Anolis carolinensis (green anole). RNAcentral describes it as "lncRNA (ENSACAG00000043735.1)". Lineage: Eukaryota; Metazoa; Chordata; Lepidosauria; Squamata; Anolidae. The record is from RNAcentral.